CCAAGGACUGCCUGAGCCACGGUGGGGCCAAAGCUGCUGUCAAUUGCCAUAGAUUAAGCGAAAUAGCAGAUAAAACGACCACCGAUUGUGUAGUUCACGCUGUCAUUUGUACAUUCCUAGCUCUUGGUUUGAUAAAGGGGUUUCCACAGCACCGUUUACAUUUAAUAUGAAUCCUUUGUUGAGGGUGGGGCUACUUUCUCAGGUAACUGAAAUUCUAUAUCAGUAGGCUCUGAUUACAGCAUGGUAACCAGGAAGUGAGGUAAGUAGGGAUAGUUUUAGAAUCCUGAAUAUCUCUCUGGCCUUGAUUUGUCAUAUUUGUGUUUUGUAUCACUGGGUCUCAGGAUGAGGGGAUACAUUUCAAAUGUCUCGUGGGCUUGUCCUAAGGCCCAGAUAAGGACCAGCACAACCCUGCUUCUCUUGCAGACCAGGCAUAAGACUGACCCCCAGAGUCCCAGUUGGUCCCUCUUUCUCCCCUGAUCUAAAGGAAGUCACAUGUGCGAGCCGCUUUCUUAGUGUGAAUCGCUGCUUGCCCCCCCCCAAGCUAUACACUAUGCCUGACCUCGGAGGCUGCCUUUCUUCUCCGUGCAGUGACCUACAGUAUGGGAGGGAGGAAGAAAAGGGGAUUGUGGACCAACGUACACACAAAAUGAAGAGAUGAUGCUGUGACUGUAGCUGAAUAUAUUUUAUAUUUCACUGGAAGCUCUUUAAUUUGGCAACAGGAUUGCCUGCUGCUAUUGGAGCGGCAGGGAAAAGCUUCUGGCAGAGCGUGUUGCUGCACUGCUGUUCCCCCAUCUGGAAGUGAGAGUGGCAAUGCACAGAGCUGCUUCCGCCCUCACCUGCCAACGUCUGUACCAUAGGUGUUCCCGAAUUGGGGACCCUCGGAAUACAGAGGGUAUAAUGUAUUAUGACAGAAUUUGUCUUUUGAAAAAAUUGAGCUAGUUUUAGUGCCUUUGGCCAUAGCGAAGCAGCCCUUCAUCUCCCCAAGAAAUCUGAAUGUGGUUUUAUGUGACGUUUGUAAGAUUUCUCGCUAUUCUGUUCUUCCUUCACCAUUUUGUACCUUUACCUUGCCACACUCAAACACGCCUGCAAGUUCAGAGUGCAGCCCUGCAGCACCCUCUGGUGUUUGUCAGAGACUUGAAAUGACUAUUCCUAGCAUGACUUCAGAAUGUCGCACUAGCGAGCAUUGCACAGUGCUGGGUUAACAAAGGCACUUAAACUUCCUGUGAAGUCUUUGAAAUCAAAGGAGCCUUUUGUGAAGAGUUGGGGUGAAAGAGGUAUCUGCUCUGAGGUGCUCUGAAUGAGGAGAGCUUUUGUUUUGUGGUGGGUAUUGUACAAAAGAGCCUGUUGUAUGUUCCUAUGGUAUUCCAAGGAAACAAAUAAUAUUGCGUAUUGAAAUUAUCUCAAGAGCAUAUUUGAGCAUUCUAAAAAUGUUUGAGUCAUUUUUUCCUAUGGCCUAUCUUACGUUGCACAUUUAGUUAAUGAUCAGUUGUUACGCAUUUAGUUAUUGAUCAGAAAAUAAUAAUCCUGAAAAAAGCAGCUUUUAACAGACUAGUCUGUGGAGUCCUUAUGCUGUGAAAAGCAGAGAUUUCCAGCAGUUAGAGAUGGGAAUCAUGAACAUCAGCAGUGUUUAACCCCCCUGACCCUUAAAGCAGCACCUUAGAUUUGUUUGAAAUUAUCAGAUGAUUUUUAACUAUGUUUCCAUCUCUAAAAUUAGUUUGUGAGCAAGAAAAACACCCCCACGUUGUCUGUAGCAGCAUUCAGGUUUUGAAAUGCUAAAAUGAUAUGCUACAGUUGCUUGUUGCCAGAACCCUUACCUUGGCCUAGAUAGUAUUUUCUGUGCAUCAUGUUGCAUUGGUUAUAGUGCUGGGUUUUGAUUAUGCUGCAGUUAAAUCUAAAAUGUGAUAUCUUGCCCAGAAGGAACACCUAACAUAAUUUUCCAAAAAUAUUGCUUAUAUUUCUGUAAAAUACUGUGCACACAAGAAUGCCCAAUUAGAUCCUAACUGAGAGUGUCUUUCUAGAUUUUCAUCCUAGAAACCCAAGAUGGAGUAAAAUGGAAACAGUGCCCAGAUGAUAACGGAAUCAUUGAUCGAAAAAAAUUUUCAGCCACUGUGAACGAAGGCCCAUAUUCAAGUAACAUGCUUAAACACCUGCCCAACAUUAAGUGUAUUUGCUUAGUUACUAGCACAAUCAGAGCCUAAAUCUAGCUUAGGAAUUUAUAUGUCUCUCUACCGUCAUUCCACAGCAUCUGAGAACCUCAGUCUUUUAAUGCAUUUAUCUCCUGAGUAAAAUUUGAGUCCCAUAUUUCCUACAUCUUUCCUUACUGUGACAUUAUAUUACUUUAAGCUCUUUAAAACAAUUGGCUGAAUCUUCAGGCUUUGCUAUAAUGACUCGAUUGACUGGAAGAGCAGGAGAACUUGUAGAUUCCACAGGUAAGAGCUGCUUAAGAACAGGUACCCCCAUACAGAAAAUCUGAAUGUAAGACUAGAGUCUGGCAGCAGCAAAUGCUGGAGGUUAAGGUCCAUAGCUGCAGGGUAGCCACGAAUUUUGGAUGCCUUCAUAUUUUAGGUGUCCAUCUUGAGAUGCCAGGUGUGUGAUUUUUUUUCCCCAAAAAAAGCUCUGAGGGCCCCAAACUUUGCAUGUGCAGUUCUCACUGGCUUCAAAGAAAGCACCUCUGGAAAUCAAGCCUUUAGUGUUUCAAGGUGAGCAGGGGCAAGCAGUGAAUGUCCCUGAAAGUGAUGAUCUAAAAAUUUUCAGGGUGCAGCUGCUUCCAUCUUCCUGUGAUCAGCAGCCUUUCUGCCUUGGGCAGGCAUCGUGUUUGUUUCCACCAUAGUGGGAACAUUACAGGCACUUCCCUUCCCCAGUGGUUUCUAAUGUAACCCUUUGUGUUCAGUGUUCUCAAGUACUGGAGGAGCAUAAAAAGUACAUUCAUGGGUUCUAGUUCUGGUUUUUCUCAUGGAUAUUCGCACUGGGAUUCAGGUCUGGCUCCCCCUCCUUUAGAGUAGCUAGCUGUACCAACUACAUAAGCAUUAGCAGUCCUUGUGCUCAGGGAUUUAUGUGGACUCUGAUUAGGGCUACUCUCCACAAUGGGCAGGGAAGGCUCUGUGAUUCCCUUCCUAAUAUUAGCACAGGACAAGCCAAAAAACAGACUUACCCAGGACCGCACAAGAAGGCUAUGGCAGAGCUAGGAAUAGAACCCAGCUUGCCUGUCCCCCCCAGGCAUGGAUCUUAAUCCGCGUCCUCCCUGUCCUGUAUACAAGGAAGUUCUCUGCUCUGAUGAUCUGUCGUGACUACUGCAGCUGCUGAGCAGAUUCAUCGCUGAUUGCAAGUGCCUCAGUGCAGGAGGAGAGUGGCUCUGUCUGUUCUCCUGCUAGGCAAUAAGCAAGAUAGGGAAUCGGUGGCUGGAUUGGUACUCUGUAUUGGCUCUGUUGUGGGACAGCUGGGGAGCACCGGCGACUGGGUUCAUGGCUUUCCAGCCAUGGGAAUGAAGGAGGCAGUAGUUGAGUCUGAGAUGAGUCCUCCUUUGGUGAGCAAAGACACUCCUCCCUCAUUUAAAAGGAAGGGGAAGAAAGCAUCAGAUAGGCCUGGCUGUGGGAAGGAGAGUGCAGGAUCAGUGGGUGGUCUCAGUGGGUCAAGGUUGGAGUCCUAGUGGCUCUAUAACCGUGGUCACCAACCGGUAGAUCGCGAUCUACUGGUCGAUCUUAGGGGCUCUAGGAGUCGCUCUUGAGCCCUCGCUGAACUGCGCCUGCACAGUACAUUUAAAUUUGAUUUCCUCAUUUGAGGAGCAGCCACUCACUGAGCAAUAACACAGGUGAGUGGCUGCGCAGAAUGGUGGGAGCUGGGCGGUCAGGAGGGCUGAAACACCCUGGCCAGCUGGCUCUGGCUUUCAGCUGAAAGAGGCUGGCCCCGCACUCCAGCUGAUUGGGUGGCUUCUCUGCGCCUGCCCACGUGGAGCGUGGGGCACCCUGGCUGAGCGCCAUGGCCGACACGGCAUAACCUAUGGGAGGAGCUAGUCAUCCUGGGUCUCAGCAAGGUACAGGUCUCAUUGCCAGUGUUGCUGCACUUUGUCACAGUAACCCAGAGCUAGCCUGUGUUACACCUCUGUGAGCUGGAAAUCACACGCCUAGUGCUAAGUGUAGGCAUCCACUUAGAGUACAUCCACAUUAGCAAAAGGUGUACAAGGAGACAAGUAGGAUAUUGCAGCACUUAAGUGAUCACCUUUUACACUGCACAUUUUGCCUAAUGCACCCUACCUUGUGAGGUCUGGACCCACUUUAAUCCACCCCUUAGGUCACAGAUGAUGUGUGCCUGGCAAAUGCUCUAGAUGCUAAGGCUUAAUGGAGACAGGCAAGAGCAUCCUUCUGUCCUUAUGUAACUUACCUUUAACAGUUCAGUGGGGCAACUGAAUUAUAGAACUAUGAAUCCUGAAAAUGUUUCCAUUUCCAAGCCAAAGGGGAAUGAAAUGGGUUUUGUUAAAUAGGCUGAAACCAGUUCAGACAUGUCAUGCUACAGAGUAACAGGCAAGAACAGUGGUUGACAUUCAGGUCCCUGAAGUCAAGAGACCUAGGACAGGUCCUCUGUUAUUCAUUGACUUACCAUUGUCUUGAUGGGUCGCUAUUAUGCAGCUCUUGAUCACAAAGCUCUUAGGGGAAAACAGAGCUAGAGACCUUCUAUUGCUUUUAAAGCAGACACCUGUCCAAUUUAACAGACUAGGUGUGCUAACAAAUGACAGACUUGCUCCUGGCCAAAUACAAAAACCUAGAUAAGAAGUCUGACAGCACUUGGAGUUAUGUUUAAAAUCCUGUGAGACUUGCAGGUGGAUUUCGCCGAGGGAACAACAGCCACGGAUCAGCAGAGUCCAGGCUAGAGCUAACCCCGGCAACAGGAAAGCCGUUCUAACCAUUUCUAUUCAGAAAAUGGCCAUCACAGCUGGAGUGGAAAGAAAACACAGAUCACAAGUCUGUUUAUUGAACUGAUACUUACACAGACGGCACCACAUGUGCUAUACCAUUGAAGACAAAAGGCCAUUAGAUAAAAUAAUAGAAUGGGAUUUGUUCCACUCUGCAUACUGUUCAUCUAGAAACGAGGUGUAUAAGAACAGUGGAAAUGACUUACACUUGGUGCUCUGAAGAAGAGACUCAGAAAUGGUAAAAAUAAGGAUGUCAGUUUUGCCCUAUGUUCUGGCAGUGGCCACGAUCCCAUCCUGAUGAUAGAAAUGAAGCACUGUUUAUCAUCCAUGUAUCCUUGUCCAUUCACUCACUUCAUGGAAUCCAGUAGCUGUUCUAGGUUGCCUAGCUUAUGAAUUUCAUAUUUCAAGACGAUCAUCUCACUAGAAUGAACAAAAUCUGAGGGAAAACUCUGCUAGCUGGGAACUGGAGAGGUUCAAGAAUUUCAAAUCUCUUUGGCAAUCCAAGCACAGUCAUCUCAUCAGCUCUCUGAGGUUGAAAGAUCAAGGAUUUGAUUUCUGGACACUUAUUUGAGGAAGAAGUUUAAUUCAGAUGUGCUAAUAACCCUCACUUUACCAUCUAAAAAAAAGUAGUGGAGGAUUUGCAUUGUUAUGUUCAGGAAAGAGUAUUGGCAGUAUUCAGAGCAAGAUGAGAUAUAUGGAUCUUAAUAUCUCAACACUUCAUAUCCACGAUGUACUCUUCAGAGAUCUCUUUUUUUUAUAACAGGAAGAGAACUAUGAAAGAAUCUUCUAAAGCCCGACAUUAAGAGCUGUGCACAAUGGGCCACACAAAAGCAGAAAUGGUGUUUAAGUUAAUAAGGAAGCAUCUCUGGGGGGUAAAGAAUGUUUUUAAAUGUAUCCUGUAGCCUCAAGGCCAGUGAGAUGGUGAGAAGUGAAUCUGCAUCUUAUCAUGGGCCCUUAAAUUAGCUUGAUGCCCUUAUUCCACUGCUAUCUCCUUAUAUCUCCAGUUAUCUAAAUGAGGUAUCUCGAUGAAAAUUACAAUACCCAUAAUCGAAAACCCUUGGGAACAAUGAAACACCUUCAUUUGUAACUGAUUCCAUCUACGGCAGUGUUUCUUAAACUUUUUAAGAUGGAGAAACACCAAACAAUAUUUUUUUUAAAUGAAGAACACCAAGGAUUUUUUGUUGAGCAAAAAAAAUAAAUAAAAAAAGGUUGGGGAGAAAGCUAUUGAACCAAAAAAAAAAAAAAAAAGCUUGCCUGCCCCUUUAAGGGCAGCCACUUUGAACUCUGUUUUUCUCCGAGGCACACAUCUGACUGCCUUGUGACACACCAAUGUACAGUGGAACACAGUUUAAGAAACACUGAUCUUUGUGGAAAUGGGUAGAGAGGUGGAAUCUUGUUUUUUGCUCUCUGGUCUUAUACCCAGAGAUCAUAGUGUGUCUUGAUACCACAUGCAAAGGCAAAACUUGACACAGUCCUGAAACUGAACCGUUGUGGGAGCAGUGGAGGUGUAAGCUACACACCCGCACCAGCCUUCCAUCUUGCAAGUCUUCCAGUAAACCCUCUUCACUAAUCAGCCCCAGCACCCAGCAACCUAUCACCUAUGCCAGGGUGCUCCAAACUUCCUGUUGUUUUUCCCUGGGUCCAAAAUCCCAUGAGCUUUUCUAUCAGCCAGAGAUUGUAGAAUAUAGUGAGUCACGGGAUGAUUUUCUGUGCGUUUCAACAGAAAUGAAUCAUAACCACUAAUCUGGUUGAUGAAGCAAAGGCAUAGAAAGACUGAAGAGGCUUUUACAAACCAACAUGUUUAUAAAUUGUAAUGUUGUUGUUACUUGUCUUCCUCCAGUGUUUAUACUAAUAAAAAAGAAUUUGCCUCAGGUUCUGUGGUGGGAAGAUCAGCAAAUUCUCAUAAGAGCUCCUGAGCUGCUUCAUGGCCAAAUUCUAUCUGGGAUCUGUCAAACCUGUGCUACUGUGCAUGAUAGAUACCGAGGGGUCAUUAUGUACUAGUGCAAGGCAUAGGAGUACUAAAAGUCCAUUCGAGAUGCAAAAACAAACAAUAUUUAGGAGUCUGUCAGUUUCCGAUACCAAGCAACAGGAAUCACGUCUCUAUCUAGAAGAAGGAAGCAAGGACACGGGAAAGUGAGGAUGGGUUAAAGUCUUGGGUAGUAGUGAUGGGAGAGAGGGAACCAAGUAGUAGAAAGGGAAAAAGUUGGCUGGGUCUGAGGUUUUGCAUGCAAAACAAAAUUGAUAUUACAGGAGAUACGUUUUAUUCAGAAAAGAAGCUUAAAGGGAGCACAAGUGAGCUUGAUUUAACUCAGCUCUGCAUUCCUGAGCAGUGUGUGGAAAUUUACAUGGAUGUUUUGCUGUUUAUUUAGAACAGGGGUCUCCAAACUACGGCCCGGGGGCCGGAUGCGGCCCGCGAGGCCCUCUCAUC
Molecule: non-coding RNA, 7334 nt
Organism: Pelodiscus sinensis (Chinese soft-shelled turtle)
Lineage: Eukaryota; Metazoa; Chordata; Testudines; Trionychidae
Source: RefSeq, a predicted model, not a curated record